GGUUCCGUAGUGUAGUGGUUAUCACGUUCGCUUCACAAGCGAAAGGUCUCCGGUUCGAUCCCGGACGGAACCA
This 73-nucleotide transfer RNA is filed under the name Trichonephila inaurata madagascariensis. It matches the Rfam family "tRNA". Rfam says of the family: Transfer RNA (tRNA) molecules are approximately 80 nucleotides in length. Their secondary structure includes four short double-helical elements and three loops (D, anti-codon, and T loops). The record is from Rfam by way of RNAcentral. Lineage: Eukaryota; Metazoa; Arthropoda; Arachnida; Araneae; Nephilidae.